Molecule: ribosomal RNA, 364 nt
Filed under: uncultured Clostridium sp.
Lineage: Bacteria; Bacillati; Bacillota; Clostridia; Eubacteriales; Clostridiaceae
Description: bacterial SSU rRNA
Rfam family: Bacterial small subunit ribosomal RNA
Source: RNAcentral
CUUCGGAGCACUGGAGACAGGGGGUGCAUGGUUGUCGUCGCUCGUGUCGUGAGAUGUUGGGUUAAGUCCCGCAACGAGCGCAACCCUUAUCCUUAGUAGCCAGCAAGUAAUGUUGGGCACUCUGGGGAGACUGCCAGGGAUAACCUGGAGGAAGGUGGGGAUGACGUCAAAUCAUCAUGCCCCUUAUGAUUUGGGCUACACACGUGCUACAAUGGCGUAAACAAAGGGAAGCAAAGGAGCGAUCUGGAGCAAACCCCAAAAAUAACGUCUCAGUUCGGAUUGCAGGCUGCAACUCGCCUGCAUGAAGCUGGAAUCGCUAGUAAUCGCGAAUCAAAAUGUCGCGGUGAAUACGUUCCCGGGUCUG